GAGAAGAACACUUAGAUCUGCUAAAUCUUUAAUCUGAUAUUAACACAUCAGUCUUCUCU
This 59-nucleotide transfer RNA is filed under the name Melanophidium wynaudense (Wayanad shieldtail). RNAcentral describes it as "tRNA-Ser". Lineage: Eukaryota; Metazoa; Chordata; Lepidosauria; Squamata; Uropeltidae. The record is from RNAcentral.